This 265-nucleotide ribosomal RNA is filed under the name uncultured bacterium. Its description in RNAcentral is "partial 16S ribosomal RNA". It matches the Rfam family "Bacterial small subunit ribosomal RNA", at positions 88 to 354 of the family's 1533-position model. The record is from RNAcentral.
CCGGCGACCGGCGGACGGGUGCGUAACGCGUAUGUAACCUACCUUUGGCAGGGGGAUAACAUCGAGAAAUUGGUACUAAUACCCCAUAACAUCACCGGAGGCAUCUUCGGUGGUUGAAAACUCAGGUGGUCAGAGAUGGACAUGCGUUGUAUUAGCUAGUUGGUGAGGUAACGGCUCACCAAGGCGACGAUACAUAGGGGGACUGAGAGGUCAACCCCCCACAUUGGUACUGAGACACGGACCAAACUCCUACGGAAGGCAGCAG